UGCGGGGUAGAGCAGUCAGGUAGCUCACAUGGCUCAUAACCAUGAGGCCGAAGGUUCAAAUCCUUCCUCCGCUACCA
Molecule: transfer RNA, 77 nt
Filed under: marine sediment metagenome
Rfam family: tRNA
About the family: Transfer RNA (tRNA) molecules are approximately 80 nucleotides in length. Their secondary structure includes four short double-helical elements and three loops (D, anti-codon, and T loops). Further hydrogen bonds mediate the characteristic L-shaped molecular structure. tRNAs have two regions of fundamental functional importance: the anti-codon, which is responsible for specific mRNA codon recognition, and the 3' end, to which the tRNAs corresponding amino acid is attached (by aminoacyl-tRNA synthetases). tRNAs cope with the degeneracy of the genetic code in two manners: having more than one tRNA (with a specific anti-codon) for a particular amino acid; and 'wobble' base-pairing, i.e. permitting non-standard base-pairing at the 3rd anti-codon position.
Source: RNAcentral